UACGUAGGUGGCGAGCGUUGUCCGGAUUUACUGGGCGUAAAGAGCGCGCAGGCGGUCGUUCAAGUCGCGUGUGAAAGCCCCCGGCUCAACUGGGGAGGGUCACGCGAUACUGUUCGACUCGAAGGCAGGAGAGGGAAGUGGAAUUCCCGGUGUAGUGGUGAAAUGCGUAGAUAUCUGGAAGAACACCAGUGGCGAAGGCGACAUACUGGUCCGUUACUGACGCUGAGGCUCGAAAGCGUGGGGAGCAAACGGG
This 253-nucleotide ribosomal RNA is filed under the name uncultured bacterium. Its description in RNAcentral is "partial 16S ribosomal RNA". It matches the Rfam family "Bacterial small subunit ribosomal RNA", at positions 524 to 776 of the family's 1533-position model. The record is from RNAcentral.